This 253-nucleotide ribosomal RNA is filed under the name uncultured bacterium. Its description in RNAcentral is "partial 16S ribosomal RNA". It matches the Rfam family "Bacterial small subunit ribosomal RNA", at positions 524 to 776 of the family's 1533-position model. The record is from RNAcentral.
UACGUAGGGACCGAGCGUUGUCCGGAAUCAUUGGGCGUAAAGAGCGUGUAGGCGGCUCGCUAAGUCUUGCGUGAAAUCUCGGGGCUCAACCCCGAGCGGUCGUGAGAAACUGGCGGGCUAGAGUGCGGGAGAGGAGAGUGGAAUUCCUGGUGUAGCGGUGAAAUGCGCAGAUAUCAGGAAGAACACCCGUGGCGAAGGCGGCUCUCUGGAACGCAACUGACACUGAGACGCGAAAGCGUGGGGAGCAAACAGG